UACUAGAGUAGCACUCGCAUAUCAAUAAGCGGAGGAAAAGAAACUAACAAGGAUUCCCCUAGUAACGGCGAGUGAAGCGGGAAGAGCUCAAAUUUGAAAUCUUAAAGGGUUUCCCUUUACGAAUUGUAGUUUAAAGAAGUGUUUUCUGUUGAGGUUUUGGUAAAAGUUCUUUGGAAUAGGACAUCAUAGAGGGUGAGAAUCCCGUAUUUGACCUUUACUUUCAACUUUGUGAUACACUUUCAAAGAGUCGGAUUGUUUGGGAAUGCAGUCCAAAAUGGGUGGUAAAUUUCAUCUAAAGCUAAAUAUUGGCGAGAGACCGAUAGCGAACAAGUACCGUGAGGGAAAGAUGAAAAGAACUUUGAAAAGAGAGUUAAACAGUACGUGAAAUUGUCAAAAGGGAAGCGUUUGACACCAGUGUUGUUUUUCUGAAAAUCAAUUAAAGAACUGUUUAUGCUAAGUUGUUUAGACUUUAUCAGCUAACUGUUUAGUUUUGAGCUUUUCUUUAAUGCACUUUUCAGUUAACAAGUCAACAUCAAUUUCUUUUGCUGUAAAAAAGCUUGAGGAAGGUGGCUUGAGAUUCGUCUUCAGUGUUUAUAGCCUCUUGCCUAUGCAGUCGGAGAGAUUGAGGUCUGCAGCGUAGAUCCUUCGGGGCUAAAUGCAUUUGUGCUAAGUUAUAGCAUUUUAUAGACAACUUGUUGACUAUGAUUUGUCUUGUAGCUUACUCGCUUAUGUUAUUUUACCUACGCUUAGGAUGUUGAGCGCAUGUCUCUCUCU
Molecule: ribosomal RNA, 774 nt
Filed under: uncultured Neocallimastigales
Lineage: Eukaryota; Fungi; Neocallimastigomycota; Neocallimastigomycetes; Neocallimastigales
Description: partial large subunit ribosomal RNA
Rfam family: Eukaryotic large subunit ribosomal RNA
Source: RNAcentral